GACGAACGCUGGCGGCGUGCCUAAUACAUGCAAGUCGAACGGAAAGGCCCUGCUUUUGCGGGGUGCUCGAGUGGCGAACGCGUGUGUAACACGCGUGUAACCCGUCCUUGUCUUUGGGAUAACUUUACGAAACUCGGGCUAUUAUCGGAUAGGAGCUCUUGCUGCACGUGGGGGGUUGGAAAGUUUCGGCGGUUGUGGAUGGACUCGCGGCUUAUCAGCUUGUUGGUGGGGUAGUGGCUGACCAAGGCUUCGACGGGUAGCCGGCCUGGGAGGGUGACCGGCGACAAUGGGACUGAGAUACGGCCCAGACUCGUACGGGAGGCAGCAGUGGGGAAUAUUGCACAAUGGGCGGAAGCCUGAUGCAGCAACGCCGCGUGCGGAAUAACGGCCUACGGGUUAUGAACCGCUUUCGCCUGUGACGAAGCGGGAGUGACGGUAAUGGGUAAAGAAGCACCGGCUAACUACGUG
This 468-nucleotide ribosomal RNA is filed under the name uncultured bacterium. Its description in RNAcentral is "partial 16S ribosomal RNA". It matches the Rfam family "Bacterial small subunit ribosomal RNA", at positions 28 to 507 of the family's 1533-position model. The record is from RNAcentral.